Molecule: ribosomal RNA, 954 nt
Filed under: Bacillus sonorensis
Lineage: Bacteria; Bacillati; Bacillota; Bacilli; Caryophanales; Bacillaceae
Description: bacterial SSU rRNA
Rfam family: Bacterial small subunit ribosomal RNA
Source: RNAcentral
GGCGCUGCCUAAUACAUGCAAGUCGAGCGGACAGAUGGGAGCUUGCUCCCUGAUGUUAGCGGCGGACGGGUGAGUAACACGUGGGUAACCUGCCUGUAAGACUGGGAUAACUCCGGGAAACCGGGGCUAAUACCGGAUGCUUGAUUGAACCGCAUGGUUCAAUUAUAAAAGGUGGCUUUUAGCUACCACUUACAGAUGGACCCGCGGCGCAUUAGCUAGUUGGUGAGGUAACGGCUCACCAAGGCAACGAUGCGUAGCCGACCUGAGAGGGUGAUCGGCCACACUGGGACUGAGACACGGCCCAGACUCCUACGGGAGGCAGCAGUAGGGAAUCUUCCGCAAUGGACGAAAGUCUGACGGAGCAACGCCGCGUGAGUGAUGAAGGUUUUCGGAUCGUAAAACUCUGUUGUUAGGGAAGAACAAGUACCGUUCGAAUAGGGCGGUACCUUGACGGUACCUAACCAGAAAGCCACGGCUAACUACGUGCCAGCAGCCGCGGUAAUACGUAGGUGGCAAGCGUUGUCCGGAAUUAUUGGGCGUAAAGCGCGCGCAGGCGGUUUCUUAAGUCUGAUGUGAAAGCCCCCGGCUCAACCGGGGAGGGUCAUUGGAAACUGGGGAACUUGAGUGCAGAAGAGGAGAGUGGAAUUCCACGUGUAGCGGUGAAAUGCGUAGAGAUGUGGAGGAACACCAGUGGCGAAGGCGACUCUCUGGUCUGUAACUGACGCUGAGGCGCGAAAGCGUGGGGAGCGAACAGGAUUAGAUACCCUGGUAGUCCACGCCGUAAACAAUAAGUGCUAAGUGUUAAAGGGUUUCCCCCCUUUAGUGCUGCAACAAACGCAUUAAGCACUCCGCCUGGCGAGUACAGUCGCAAGACUGAAACUCAAAGUAUGAACCGCCGCCCGCCCCACCUGUCGACCAAUAGUUUGAUUCAAACCACCCCAAGAACUUACCAGG